This 249-nucleotide ribosomal RNA is filed under the name uncultured Staphylococcus sp. RNAcentral describes it as "partial 16S ribosomal RNA". It matches the Rfam family "Bacterial small subunit ribosomal RNA", at positions 524 to 772 of the family's 1533-position model. The record is from RNAcentral. Lineage: Bacteria; Bacillati; Bacillota; Bacilli; Caryophanales; Staphylococcaceae.
UACGUAGGUGGCAAGCGUUAUCCGGAAUUAUUGGGCGUAAAGCGCGCGUAGGCGGUUUCUUAAGUCUGAUGUGAAAGCCCACGGCUCAACCGUGGAGGGUCAUUGGAAACUGGGAAACUUGAGUGCAGAAGAGGAAAGUGGAAUUCCAUGUGUAGCGGUGAAAUGCGCAGAGAUAUGGAGGAACACCAGUGGCGAAGGCGACUUUCUGGUCUGUAACUGACGCUGAUGUGCGAAAGCGUGGGGAUCAAA